GACGAACGCUGGCGGCGUGCCUAAUACAUGCAAGUCGAGCGGACUGAUUAAGAGCUUGCUCUUAUGACGUUAGCGGCGGACGGGUGAGUAACACGUGGGCAACCUGCCCUGUAGAUCGGGAUAACACCGAGAAAUCGGUGCUAAUACCGGGUAAUAUCUGAGAUCACAUGAUCUUAGGUUAAAAGAUGGCUCCGGCUAUCACUACAGGAUUGGCCCGCGGCGCAUUAGCUAGUUGGUAAGGUAAUGGCUUACCAAGGCGACGAUGCGUAGCCGACCUGAGAGGGUGAUCGGCCACACUGGGACUGAGACACGGCCCAGACUCCCACGGGAGGCAGCAGGAGGGAAUCUUCCGCAAUGGACGAAAGUCUGACGGAGCAACGCCGCGUGAGUGAUGAAGGGUUUCGGCUCGUAAAGCUCUGUUGUUAGGGAAGAAACAGUACCGAACGAACUAGGUCGGUACCUUGACGGUACCUAACCAGAAAGCCACGGCUAACUACGUG
This 500-nucleotide ribosomal RNA is filed under the name uncultured bacterium. RNAcentral's name for it is "partial 16S ribosomal RNA". It matches the Rfam family "Bacterial small subunit ribosomal RNA", at positions 28 to 507 of the family's 1533-position model. The record is from RNAcentral.